ACGUGUAGCAGUGAAAUGCGUAGAGAUGUGGAGGAACACCGAUGGCGAAGGCAGCCCCCUGGGCCGAUACUGACGCUCAUGCACGAAAGCGUGGGUAGCAAACAGGAUUAGAUACCCUGGUAGUCCACGCCCUAAACGAUGUCAACUAGGUGUUGGGUGGGUAAAACCAUUUAGUACCGUAGCUAACGCGUGAAGUUGACCGCCUGGGGAGUACGGCCGCAAGGUUAAAACUCAAAGGAAUUGACGGGGACCCGCACAAGCGGUGGAUGAUGUGGAUUAAUUCGAUGCAACGCGAAAAACCUUACCUACCCUUGACAUGUCCAGAAGCCCGGAGAGAUUUGGGUGUGCCCGAAAGGGAACUGGAACACAGGUGCUGCAUGGCUGUCGUCAGCUCGUGUCGUGAGAUGUUGGGUUAAGUCCCGCAACGAGCGCAACCCUUGUCGUUAAUUGCCAUCAUUUAGUUGGGCACUUUAACGAGACUGCCGGUGACAAACCGGAGGAAGGUGGGGAUGACGUCAAGUCCUCAUGGCCCUUAUGGGUAGGGCUUCACACGUCAUACAAUGGUCGGUACAGAGGGUUGCCAAGCCGCGAGGUGGAGCCAAUCCCAGAAAGCCGAUCGUAGUCCGGAUUGCAGGCUGCAACUCGCCUGCAUGAAGUCGGAAUCGCUAGUAAUCGCGGAUCAGCAUGUCGCGGUGAAUACGUUCCCGGGUCUUGUACACACCGCCCGUAA
Molecule: ribosomal RNA, 730 nt
Filed under: uncultured bacterium
Lineage: Bacteria
Description: bacterial SSU rRNA
Rfam family: Bacterial small subunit ribosomal RNA
Source: RNAcentral